UACAGAGGUGGCAAGCGUUGUUCGGAAUUACUGGGCGUAAAGGGCGCGUAGGCGGCCAUCUAAGUCAGACGUGAAAUCCCCCGGCUUAACCUGGGAACUGCGUCUGAUACUGGAAGGCUUGAGUAUGGGAGAGGGAUGUAGAAUUCCAGGUGUAGCGGUGAAAUGCGUAGAUAUCUACAGGAACUCCGGUGGCGAAAGCGGCGUGCUGGACCUUUUCUGACGCUGAGGCGCGAAAGCUAGGGGAGCAAACGGG
Molecule: ribosomal RNA, 253 nt
Filed under: uncultured bacterium
Lineage: Bacteria
Description: partial 16S ribosomal RNA
Rfam family: Bacterial small subunit ribosomal RNA
Source: RNAcentral